UACGAAGGGGGCUAGCGUUGCUCGGAAUCACUGGGCGUAAAGGGUGCGUAGGCGGGUCUUUUAAGUCAGGGGUGAAAUCCUGGAGCUCAACUCCAGAACUGCCUUUGAUACUGAAGAUCUUGAGUUCGGGAGAGGUGAGUGGAACUGCGAGUGUAGAGGUGAAAUUCGUAGAUAUUCGCAAGAACACCAGUGGCGAAGGCGGCUUACUGGUCCGGUUCUGACGCUGAGGCGCGAAAGCGUGGGGAGCAAACAGG
RNAcentral lists this ribosomal RNA (254 nucleotides) under uncultured bacterium. RNAcentral's name for it is "partial 16S ribosomal RNA". It matches the Rfam family "Bacterial small subunit ribosomal RNA", at positions 524 to 776 of the family's 1533-position model. The record is from RNAcentral.